Non-coding RNA from Potamilus streckersoni, 77 nucleotides. The record is from the annotation of a GenBank genome assembly. Lineage: Eukaryota; Metazoa; Mollusca; Bivalvia; Unionida; Unionidae.
GACCAUUUAGGUGGCCGAGUGGUUAGAGUGUCUGCCUCCGAAUCAGGAAGUCGCGGGUUCGAACCCCGUCCGAGUCA